This 465-nucleotide ribosomal RNA is filed under the name uncultured bacterium. Its description in RNAcentral is "bacterial SSU rRNA". It matches the Rfam family "Bacterial small subunit ribosomal RNA", at positions 338 to 795 of the family's 1533-position model. The record is from RNAcentral.
CCUACGGGAGGCAGCAGUGGGGAAUUUUGGACAAUGGACGAAAGUCUGAUCCAGCAAUGCCGCGUGCAGGACGAAGGCCUUCGGGUUGUAAACUGCUUUUGUACGGAACGAAACGGUCUGCUUUAAUACAGCGGGCUAAUGACGGUACCGUAAGAAUAAGCACCGGCUAACUACGUGCCAGCAGCCGCGGUAAUACGUAGGGUGCGAGCGUUAAUCGGAAUUACUGGGCGUAAAGCGUGCGCAGGCGGUUAUAUAAGUCAGAUGUGAAAUCCCCGGGCUCAACCUGGGACCUGCAUUUGAGACUGUAUAGCUAGAGUACGGUAGAGGGGGAUGGAAUUCCGCGUGUAGCAGUGAAAUGCGUAGAUAUGCGGAGGAACACCGAUGGCGAAGGCAAUCCCCUGGACCUGUACUGACGCUCAUGCACGAAAGCGUGGGGAGCAAACAGGAUUAGAUACCCCAGUAGUC